UGGUGAUGCUAAUUUCUCUCUGCCCAUCCCUGCUCCAGGCAAGAGGCAUGAUGGGAACUCUAUACAGUUCCUGUGCCCUAAAAUGUGCAGCUUGGAUGGGAGACAGGCUGGGUCUAGAGACCCUACAGCAGGAGCUCUGAGACCCUCCGUGGGUCACUAAAGCGUCCAGCUCCUCUGAAAUUUGGAAAGCACUGAUAGUAAAUGUCCCAUUUCCUACCGCGCGUCAGCUGUUUUGAGCCUGGCAGGAAACUCUAGAUCACUCUUGGAUAGGUACCAAGGCGUUGAGGGAAAGCAUGGAGGCAGAGAUGGAGAGUGAACUCCACUGCUGGGAGACGGCAUCUUGACUGGAGCUAGGGAGGCGGCUGGAGGUGCACAUCGCCCAGGAGACCCUCCAUCCAGGUGACUGACAGCCCCGGGCCAGGUCUGAGUCAGUGUGCGCAGUCGCAGCACACUCGGGCAUGCUCUUCCAAAGUAAGGUCCCGUUCUACCUUUCUGAGGCAGAUUUCCUUACCCAGGAUGCACGCCUGGUGGCUAUCACCCAGGGCAACCUGAAAAGGAUCGCGCAGACUCGGAAGGGGUCAG
This 582-nucleotide long non-coding RNA is filed under the name Mus pahari (shrew mouse). RNAcentral's name for it is "predicted gene 44793 (MGP_PahariEiJ_G0002828.1)". Lineage: Eukaryota; Metazoa; Chordata; Mammalia; Rodentia; Muridae. The record is from RNAcentral.